AACGCGAAGAACCUUACCAGGUCUUGACAUACCAUUGACCGUUCUAGAGAUAGGAUUUUCCCUUCGGGGACAAUGGAUACAGGUGGUGCAUGGUUGUCGUCAGCUCGUGUCGUGAGAUGUUGGGUUAAGUCCCGCAACGAGCGCAACCCCUGUCGUUAGUUGCCAGCAUUCAGUUGGGGACUCUAACGAGACUGCCAGUGACAAACUGGAGGAAGGUGGGGAUGACGUCAAAUCAUCAUGCCCCUUAUGACCUGGGCUACACACGUGCUACAAUGGUUGGUACAAAGAGAAGCGAAGCGGUGACGUGGAGCAAACCUCAUAAAGCCAAUCUCAGUUCGGAUUGUAGGCUGCAACUCGCCUACAUGAAGUUGGAAUCGCUAGUAAUCGCGAAUCAGAAUGUCGCGGUGAAUACGUUCCCGGGCCUUGUACACACCG
This 435-nucleotide ribosomal RNA is filed under the name uncultured bacterium. Its description in RNAcentral is "bacterial SSU rRNA". It matches the Rfam family "Bacterial small subunit ribosomal RNA", at positions 958 to 1392 of the family's 1533-position model. The record is from RNAcentral.